GGACUACCGGGGUUUCUAAUCCCGUUCGCUCCCCUAGCUUUCGCGCCUCAGCGUCAGAAGAGGUCCAGCACGUCGCUUUCGCCACCGGCGUUCCUUCCGAUAUCAACGCAUUUCACCGCUCCACCGGAAGUUCCACAUGCCCCUACCUCCCUCCAGACUGUCAGUAUCCAAGGCUAUUUUCCGGUUGAGCCGAAAGAUUUCACCCCGGACUUGACAGCCCGCCUACGCGCCCUUUAAGCCCAGUGAUUCCGAACAACGUUUGCACGGUUCGUCUUACCGCGGCUGCUGGCAC
RNAcentral lists this ribosomal RNA (292 nucleotides) under uncultured bacterium. RNAcentral describes it as "partial 16S ribosomal RNA". The record is from RNAcentral. RNAcentral also lists the same sequence under 2 other names.